Molecule: non-coding RNA, 19 nt
Filed under: Arabidopsis thaliana (thale cress)
Lineage: Eukaryota; Viridiplantae; Streptophyta; Magnoliopsida; Brassicales; Brassicaceae
Source: RNAcentral
UGGGUUAUAUGGUGGAUGU